Molecule: long non-coding RNA, 810 nt
Organism: Xenopus laevis (African clawed frog)
Lineage: Eukaryota; Metazoa; Chordata; Amphibia; Anura; Pipidae
Exons: 3
Source: RefSeq, a predicted model, not a curated record
GCAUUAUAAAGAUUUAAAAAUAAAUAAAAAACAGUAAAAGGAAAGAAAAAUCUGACCUUUGUCUUAGGCAAAAUUAUAAGGUAUAGUCUUGUGGCUUUUAAAGUGAAAAAGCAUUUGAAACACAUGAUAGUAGAAAUGAGCUAAAUUUACUAUGAGGGCAGUUAUGGGAAAACAAUUGAAUCAUUCUGGAGGGAUGGUAAUAACUUUUUGUAUUUCUUGGGAUACAAAUUCAGUGAAAUGACUCGCUGGAAACAGUAUGAGCCGGCUACUCAUGCUGAUCGAUGACUGCAUUGGUGCUUGAACAUUUAAUGAGUAACCAGACACACGCAGUCUACUAACAGAAUUAAAGUACUACAUGAAAAUUUCAAGAUACCGUCAUUGAAUCUGUAAGAAAAUGUGAACUUUGGAACAGUUUUUUUCUUUCCAAGCAGUGAUCUCAUAAGCACCAACGAGAUUCAGAUUUUAAAUAGGACUGGACUCUGCAAUGGAGAGGCUAAACUAUUAAAGGAAGCAGGAGAACUGGACCAAAGCAUUGGACCUCAAACUGAACGUGACAAUGAGCAAGUGAAUACCAAUUCUAGGAAACUGAUUUUAGAAUACAUAUUGAACUCAAAUAUAUAUUGGACUGUAACAGAAUAAUACAAACAGGAGCUGCACUAUUGUUGCAAAAAGACAAAAAUACAUGUAUUUUGUAGAUGUUGGGCAUGCAGGUAUAUUUAAAAAAUGUGUGAAGAAUAUUUAGAUUUUUGGCUAUUCAGUAGUACUAAGUAACUUUUAGUAUGUUAUUAAAGAUGGACCAUUUCUAAGCAA